AACGCGAAGAACCUUACCUGGGCUCGAAAUGUAGUGGACUGGGGUAGAAAUAUCCCUUUCUCGCAAGAGACUGCUAUAUAGGUGCUGCAUGGCUGUCGUCAGCUCGUGUCGUGAGAUGUUGGGUUAAGUCCCGCAACGAGCGCAACCCUUAUUGCCAGUUGCCAUCGGGUCAAGCCGGGCACUCUGGCGAAACUGCCUCGGAUAACGAGGAGGAAGGUGGGGAUGACGUCAAGUCCUCAUGGCCUUUAUGUCCAGGGCUACACACGUGCUACAAUGGUCGGUACAAACCGUCGCAAACCCGCGAGGGGGAGCUAAUCGGAAAAAGCCGACCUCAGUUCGGAUUGGAGUCUGCAACUCGACUCCAUGAAGCUGGAAUCGCUAGUAAUCGCAGAUCAGAACGCUGCGGUGAAUACGUUCCCGGGCCUUGUACACACCGCUACAGU
This 443-nucleotide ribosomal RNA is filed under the name uncultured bacterium. RNAcentral's name for it is "bacterial SSU rRNA". It matches the Rfam family "Bacterial small subunit ribosomal RNA", at positions 958 to 1401 of the family's 1533-position model. The record is from RNAcentral.